UGAUGCAGCCAUGCCGCGUGAAUGAUGAAGGCCUUAGGGUUGUAAAAUUCUUUCGCUAGGGAUGAUAAUGACAGUACCUAGUAAAGAAGCCCCGGCUAACUUCGUGCCAGCAGCCGCGGUCAUACUCCGGGGGCUAGCGUUGUUCGGAAUUACUGGGCGUAAAGCGCACGUAAGCGGAUUUUUGUGUCAGAUGUGAAAUCCCGGGGCUCAACCUCAGAACUGCAUUUGAAACUGUAAGUCUGGAGUUCAGGAGAGGUUAGCGGAAUACCGAGUGUAGAGGUGAAAUUCGUAGAUAUUCGGUGGAACACCAGUGGCGAAGGCGGCUAACUGGACUGAUACUGACGCUGAGGUGCGAAAGUGUGGGGAGCAAACAGGAUUAGAUACCCAGGUAGUCCACACCGUAAACGAUGACAGCUAGUUGUUGGCAGGCAUGCCUGUCGGUGACGCAGCUAACGCAUUAAGCUGUCCGCCUGGGGAGUACGGCCGCAAGGUUAAAAC
RNAcentral lists this ribosomal RNA (498 nucleotides) under uncultured Hyphomonas sp. RNAcentral describes it as "bacterial SSU rRNA". It matches the Rfam family "Bacterial small subunit ribosomal RNA", at positions 384 to 900 of the family's 1533-position model. The record is from RNAcentral. Lineage: Bacteria; Pseudomonadati; Pseudomonadota; Alphaproteobacteria; Hyphomonadales; Hyphomonadaceae.